AGUGAACGCUGGCGGUAGGCCUAACACAUGCAAGUCGAACGGCAGCACAGUAAGAGCUUGCUCUUACGGGUGGCGAGUGGCGGACGGGUGAGGAAUACAUCGGAAUCUACUUUUUCGUGGGGGAUAACGUAGGGAAACUUACGCUAAUACCGCAUACGACCUACGGUUGAAAGCAGGGGAUCUUCGGACCUUUCGCGAUUGAAUGAGCCGAUUUCGGAUUAGCUAGUUGGCGGGGUAAAGGCCCACCAAGGCGACGAUCCGUAGCUGGUCUGAGAGGAUGAUCAGCCACACUGGAAAUGAGAAAAGGUCCAGACUCCUAAGGGAGGCAGCAGUGGGGAAUAUUGGACAAUGGGCGCAAGCCUGAUCCAGCCAUACCGCGUGGGUGAAGAAGGCCUUCGGGUUGUAAAGCCCUUUUGUUGGGAAAGAAAAGCAGCAGGUUAAUACCCCGCUGUUCUGACGGUACCCAAAGAAUAAGCACCGGCUAACUUCGUG
Molecule: ribosomal RNA, 492 nt
Filed under: uncultured bacterium
Lineage: Bacteria
Description: partial 16S ribosomal RNA
Rfam family: Bacterial small subunit ribosomal RNA
Source: RNAcentral